AUAUUUACCUGGCAAGGGAGAUACCAUGAUCGCGAAGGUGGUUUUCCCAGGGUUAUGCUUAUCCAUUGCACUUCAGAUGUGCUGACCCUUGCAAUUUCCCCAAAUAUGGGAAACUCUACUGCAUAAUAUGUGGUAGUAGGGGACUGCAUUCACACUCUCUCGUA
This is a small nuclear RNA of Artibeus jamaicensis (Jamaican fruit-eating bat), 164 nucleotides long. RefSeq annotates it as U1 spliceosomal RNA. The transcript has a single exon. NCBI's taxonomy places the organism in Eukaryota, Metazoa, Chordata, Mammalia, Chiroptera, Phyllostomidae. The record is from RefSeq and is a predicted model, not a curated record.